AAGUUGUGACUCAUAAAAGUUCUUCUUUGCAAUUUUUUGAUAGCUUCUUCAGCUUCAAAAGUCCAAGUGACUAACCUUUUAUCCCUUUUCCUGCUAUCCUUAAGAUAAUCCGUAAGAACUGCCUGAUGUGAUGCAGCAUUUUUCAGACAACGACGAUGUCGGUUUAAUUCCUUGCUUGGAAACUAAAUAGCCAAGGAAAGAAAUUUCAUCCUUACCAAAGAGACAUUUGGACAAAUUAAUCGUCAUGCCGAAUUGUUUAAGCCGAGAAAACACAGUAUGAAGAUGUUUGGCAUGUUCUUUCUCAUU
This is a long non-coding RNA of Formica exsecta, 306 nucleotides long. RefSeq lists it as uncharacterized. The record is from RefSeq and is a predicted model, not a curated record. The transcript has 2 exons. NCBI's taxonomy places the organism in Eukaryota, Metazoa, Arthropoda, Insecta, Hymenoptera, Formicidae.